Molecule: long non-coding RNA, 1143 nt
Organism: Hippocampus zosterae (dwarf seahorse)
Lineage: Eukaryota; Metazoa; Chordata; Actinopteri; Syngnathiformes; Syngnathidae
Exons: 3
Source: RefSeq, a predicted model, not a curated record
GAUGCCGAUCAUGUUGACUGCUGCCUGAAGAGGGGGAAAGUAGUCUUCAACCUCUGCGGAGAACAUGCUUGUUAAAAUUAAAUGAGCCUUCUUACCGGCAGAUGGUUCAGUCACACUUCGACUCCACCGGCUUCAUGUGGAUGACAAAGUACAGCAGGUGGCGGGUGUGACUGGAAGCUGCACUGCAUGCAGAAUCAAAGAAAAAGCAGGUGGAUCGUGGCGCCGCCUCCAACCAACAGUUCCAGGACUGAGCUUGGAAUUACGCGACAUCACAACGUGUUACCUGGUUCUUCAGCACCACCUGGUGGAUGAGAGCGGGACAAACGCAAUGCUGAGUAAAUGUCUUGGGGUCACUCUCCCACCCGUUUCCCCCCUGGUGCAACACCCGAUUCAAAUGAUCAGAUCAUCAGCAAGGUCUUGCGGAAGCCAGACACCGAAUCUGAUCUUGUGUCUCAGUGUGCGAGAGAGCCAGAAAAGCCACAGGUGCGCCGAACUUAACCAGCUCUCAGGAGCUGGUUGAGUGGGCGGGCCUGUGGUUAAACCAAACUUUUCAAAUUUCUGGAUUUGACACCUGCGCUCAAUUACGAGUACUCGCACUUGCACCGCUUUAAAAGAUUUGGUUUCACUUGUGAAGAGAGCAGAGCUGGACGCUUCUUCGACAGCACGCUGGCCUGAAAGACACGGCAACGUUAGCGCUUGACUCUUAAAUAUUCAAACCGUACAAGCGUAUGGCUGAGCACCCCGAUAUUUGGAAGGCCCAAACGCCACAGGAUGGCAGCCAUUUUGUCGAGGUGAGCCUGCGUAGACAGAAAUGAGAAUCGACACUUUUGGGAUUUAGUCUGAUAUGUAUUCAAAUGAGUCAGUUUUACCUUGUAACAGUCAAUUUGGCCAUUCUGUAGAAGAUGCAAAGCCUGUGGACAGGAAAGAGACAUUAGUUUGGCUUGCUCCAAAUGGUUCACAAUUUGAAUUCCACAUUGAAACGCACAGCAAGUGUGCCAUUUUAGACGCGAUUUGUACCUGGGAACAGAAAUGACACAAUUAGUAUGCACAGAUGCAUAUUACUUCUGUUUAAUUGUGAAUUUAGAAAGGAGUUUUGUCUACUUACCCUCUCGGCGAACGUAGCUUUCCUAGGAAGUUGGGGGA